Molecule: long non-coding RNA, 818 nt
Filed under: Helianthus annuus (common sunflower)
Lineage: Eukaryota; Viridiplantae; Streptophyta; Magnoliopsida; Asterales; Asteraceae
Description: hypothetical non coding rna
Source: RNAcentral
GUUCAAUAAACCACAUUAUGGGGACGAAAUUGUCAAGCUAGGAUUGAUAUCCACACCUUGAUGACUGGUUCCAUUCUUCGAUUUUCAAUCUCGUCAAAGUUUCGUAUUUUCGAUCGAAUUAGGGACAUGUAUUAACCAGAAGGGUAAAAUACCGCUACUCGCCUGUCGACGAGAGUAUUUUACCUAUUAGGCCAAAGCAUGCCUCCGUAAUUCGAAAGGACUUACGGGUCACUUUGGAAUAGUCGAAGUUUCUAAACCCGAAACGUUCCAAUAUUUUAUCAAACCCCUCUUUUAUGCUAUCUCAACAUUUAUGUGAUUUAAUACUUGUUAUCUCGUUCAUUUCAAAACCAAUGUUAUACUAAAAUCGAAUUAUCAUCCAACCAUUCAAUACAUACAUACUAAUAGUUAUACUUGGUUCGGGAUUACUGGGUGAUUCUUAUGUGAUAAACUUGUCAUUAACUUUGAUCAAAGCCACAACUUAACAUGUAUAGCGCUUGUGUAGCGCUAUAGGAGUAGCGCCCGCCCGUAUUCUUGAGGUCAUGUUAAGACAUUUUGCGCGCUAUAGGAGUAGCGCCCGCCCGUAUUCUUGAGGUCAUGUUAAGACAUUUUGCGGUACACGAUGGAUUGACCUGUUUAUUCGCAUGCCAGUAAUGCGUUAAUCUUGAUUAACUAAAGUAUGUCGUGUGGAUUGUUCAAUGAUUUUUUUUUACAUAUGCUAAUGCUAGUUAUACUUGAUUCGGGAUUUCUGGAACAUUCUUAUGUGAUAAACCUGUCAUUAACUUCGCAAGAAGCCACACCUUAACAUGUAUAGCGCUUGU